CUCCUACGGGAGGCAGCAGUAGGGAAUCUUCCGCAAUGGGCGCAAGCCUGACGGAGCAACGCCGCGUGAGUGAGGAAGGCCUUCGGGUUGUAAAACUCAGUCACCUGGGAAGAGAGGUAUGGGGAGUGGAAUGCCCCAUACGAGACGGUACCAGGGGAGGAAGCCCCGGCUAACUACGUGCCAGCAGCCGCGGUAAUACGUAGGGGGCAAGCGUUGUCCGGAAUCACUGGGCGUAAAGCGUGCGUAGGCGGUCUUUCAAGUCCGGGGUGAAAACUCAAGGCUCAACCUUGAGAAUGCCUUGGAAACUGGGGGACUUGAGUACUGGAGAGGCAAGGGGAAUUCCACGUGUAGCGGUGAAAUGCGUAGAGAUGUGGAGGAAUACCAGUGGCGAAGGCGCCUUGCUGGACAGUGACUGACGCUGAGGCACGAAAGCGUGGGGAGCAAACAGGAUUAGAUACCCUGGUAGUCCACGCUGUAAACGAUGAGUGCUAGGUGUUGGGGGCUCAUCCCCUCAGUGCCGAAGGAAACCCAAUAAGCACUCCGCCUGGGGAGUACGGUCGCAAGACUGAAACUCAAAGGAAUUGACGGGGGCUCGCACAAGCAGUGGAGCAUGUGGUUUAAUUCGAAGCAACGCGAAGAACCUUACCAGGGCUUGACAUCCCACUGACCGGUUCAGAGAUGGGCCUUCCCUUCGGGGCAGAGGAGACAGGUGGUGCAUGGUUGUCGUCAGCUCGUGUCGUGAGAUGUUGGGUUAAGUCCCGCAACGAGCGCAACCCUUGACCUGUGUUACCAGCACGUAAUGGUGGGGACUCACAGGUGACUGCCGGCGUAAGUCGGAGGAAGGUGGGGAUGACGUCAAAUCAUCAUGCCCUUUAUAUCCUGGGCUACACACGUGCUACAAUGGGCGGUACAACGGGAAGCGAGACCGCGAGGUGGAGCGAAACCCAAAAAGCCGUUCGUAGUUCGGAUUGCAGGCUGCAACCCGCCUGCAUGAAGCCGGAAUUGCUAGUAAUCGCGGAUCAGCAUGCCGCGGUGAAUCCGUUCCCGGGCCCUGCACACACCGCCCGU
Molecule: ribosomal RNA, 1068 nt
Filed under: Alicyclobacillus sp. enrichment culture clone MRT18-26
Lineage: Bacteria; Bacillati; Bacillota; Bacilli; Caryophanales; Alicyclobacillaceae
Description: bacterial SSU rRNA
Rfam family: Bacterial small subunit ribosomal RNA
Source: RNAcentral